This 619-nucleotide ribosomal RNA is filed under the name Drosophila cardini. RNAcentral describes it as "partial 16S ribosomal RNA". It matches the Rfam family "Bacterial large subunit ribosomal RNA", at positions 1895 to 2766 of the family's 2925-position model. Lineage: Eukaryota; Metazoa; Arthropoda; Insecta; Diptera; Drosophilidae. The record is from RNAcentral.
UUAAAGUCUAACCUGCCCACUGAAUUUUUAAAUGGCCGCAGUAUUCUAACUGUGCAAAGGUAGCAUAAUCAUUAGUCUUUUAAUUGAAGGCUGGAAUGAAUGGUUGGACGAAAUAUUAACUGUUUCAUUUUAAUUUUUUAUAGAAUUUUAUUUUUUAGUCAAAAAGCUAAAAUUUUAUUAAAAGACGAGAAGACCCUAUAAAUCUUUAUAUUUUAUUUAUUUAAAUUUUAAAGAUUAAUUUAAUUUUUAUAAAAAAAAAUAUUUUAUUGGGGUGAUAUUAAAAUUUAUUAAACUUUUAAUUAAUUAAACCAUUAAUUUAUGAGUAAUUGAUCCAUUAAUAAUGAUUAAAAAUUUAAGUUACUUUAGGGAUAACAGCGUAAUUUUUUUGGAGAGUUCAUAUCGAUAAAAAAGAUUGCGACCUCGAUGUUGGAUUAAGAUAUAAUUUUGGGUGUAGCCGUUCAAAUUUUAAGUCUGUUCGACUUUUAAAUUCUUACAUGAUCUGAGUUCAAACCGGCGUAAGCCAGGUUGGUUUCUAUCUUUAAAAAAUUAUAAUAUUUUAGUACGAAAGGACCAAAUAUUAAAAUUAUUAAAUUUUAAAAAUUGAAUAUUAUUAAUAAUA